Molecule: transfer RNA, 72 nt
Filed under: Plasmodium chabaudi adami
Lineage: Eukaryota; Apicomplexa; Aconoidasida; Haemosporida; Plasmodiidae
Also listed under: 1 other name
Description: Gly transfer RNA (acc)
Rfam family: tRNA
About the family: Transfer RNA (tRNA) molecules are approximately 80 nucleotides in length. Their secondary structure includes four short double-helical elements and three loops (D, anti-codon, and T loops). Further hydrogen bonds mediate the characteristic L-shaped molecular structure. tRNAs have two regions of fundamental functional importance: the anti-codon, which is responsible for specific mRNA codon recognition, and the 3' end, to which the tRNAs corresponding amino acid is attached (by aminoacyl-tRNA synthetases). tRNAs cope with the degeneracy of the genetic code in two manners: having more than one tRNA (with a specific anti-codon) for a particular amino acid; and 'wobble' base-pairing, i.e. permitting non-standard base-pairing at the 3rd anti-codon position.
Source: RNAcentral
AUGAGUAUAAUUUAAAAGAUAAAAUACAAUUUUACCAAAAUUGUUAUAAGAGUUUGAGUCUCUUUAUUCAUA